This 510-nucleotide ribosomal RNA is filed under the name uncultured bacterium. RNAcentral's name for it is "partial 16S ribosomal RNA". It matches the Rfam family "Bacterial small subunit ribosomal RNA", at positions 28 to 507 of the family's 1533-position model. The record is from RNAcentral.
GACGAACGCUGGCGGCGUGCUUAACACAUGCAAGUCGAACGAAGAGCGACGGAAGCUUGCUUCUAUCAAUCUUAGUGGCGCACGGGUGAGUAACGCGUAAUCAACCUGCCCUUCAGAGGGGGACAACAGUUGGAAACGACUGCUAAUACCGCAUACGAUCUAAUCUCGGCAUCGAGGAUGGAUGAAAGGUGGCCUCUACAUGUAAGCUAUCACUGAAGGAGGGGAUUGCGUCUGAUUAGCUAGUUGGAGGGGUAACGGCCCACCAAGGCGAUGAUCAGUAGCCGGUCUGAGAGGAUGAACGGCCACAUUGGGACUGAGACACGGCCCAGACUCCUACGGGAGGCAGCAGUGGGGAAUCUUCCGCAAUGGACGAAAGUCUGACGGAGCAACGCCGCGUGAGUGAUGACGGCCUUCGGGUUGUAAAGCUCUGUUAAUCGGGACGAAAGGCCUUCUUGCGAAUAGUGAGAAGGAUUGACGGUACCGGAAGAGAAAGCCACGGCUAACUACGUG